RNAcentral lists this ribosomal RNA (486 nucleotides) under uncultured bacterium. RNAcentral describes it as "partial 16S ribosomal RNA". It matches the Rfam family "Bacterial small subunit ribosomal RNA", at positions 30 to 507 of the family's 1533-position model. The record is from RNAcentral.
AUUGAACGCUGGCGGCAUGCCUUACACAUGCAAGUCGAACGGCAGCACGGGUGCUUGCACCUGGUGGCGAGUGGCGAACGGGUGAGUAAUACAUCGGAACAUGUCCUGUAGUGGGGAAUAGCCCGGCGAAAGCCGGAUUAAUACCGCAUACGAUCUACGGAUGAAAGCGGGGGACCUUCGGGCCUCGCGCUAUAGGGUUGGCCGAUGGCUGAUUAGCUAGUUGGUGGGGUAAAGGCCUACCAAGGCGACGAUCAGUAGCUGGUCUGAGAGGACGUCCAGCCACACUGGGACUGAGACACGGCCCAGACUCCUACGGGAGGCAGCAGUGGGGAAUUUUGGACAAUGGGCGAAAGCCUGAUCCAGCAAUGCCGCGUGUGUGAAGAAGGCCUUCGGGUUGUAAAGCACUUUUGUCCGGAAAGAAAUCCUUGGCCCUAAUACGGUCGGGGGAUGACGGUACCGGAAGAAUAAGCACCGGCUAACUACGUG